This 253-nucleotide ribosomal RNA is filed under the name uncultured bacterium. RNAcentral describes it as "partial 16S ribosomal RNA". It matches the Rfam family "Bacterial small subunit ribosomal RNA", at positions 524 to 777 of the family's 1533-position model. The record is from RNAcentral.
UACGAAGGGGGCUAGCGUUGCUCGGAAUUACUGGGCGUAAAGCGCACGUAGGCGGCUUUCUAAGUCGGGGGUGAAAUCCUGGAGCUCAACUCCAGAACUGCCUCGAUACUGGAGAGCUCGAGUCCGGGAGAGGUGAGUGGAACUGCGAGUGUAGAGGUGAAAUUCGUAGAUAUUCGCAAGAACACCAGUGGCGAAGGCGGCUCACUGGCCCGGUACUGACGCUGAGGUGCGAAAGCGUGGGGAGCAAACAGGG